GAUGAACGCUGGCGGCGUGCCUAAUACAUGCAAGUCGAGCGAAAAGACGAGGAGCUUGCUCUUCUGAUGUUAGCGGCGGACGGGUGAGUAACACGUGGAUAACAUCCCUAUAAGAAUGGGAUAACUACGGGAAAAUGGCGUUAAUAAAGGAUAACAUGUUGAACCGCACGGAUCAACACCAAAAGACGGUCUUGCUGACACUUAUAGCUCGAUCAGAGCCACUGUAGCUAGUUGGUAAGGUAACGGAUUAACAAGGUCACGAUGCGUGGCCUACCUGAGAGGGUGAUCGGCCGCACUAGAGAGAAGACACGGUGCAGAAUCCUACGUGAGGCAGCGGUCGGAAAUCUUCCGGAAUGGGCAGAGGCCGGACGUGGCAACGCCGCGUGAGUGAAGAGGGGCUACGGAGCGUAAAACACUGUUAUUAGGGAAGAACAAAUGUGUAAGUAUCUAGGCACGACUUGACGGUACCUAAUCAGAAAGCCACGGCUAACUACGUG
Molecule: ribosomal RNA, 497 nt
Filed under: uncultured bacterium
Lineage: Bacteria
Description: partial 16S ribosomal RNA
Rfam family: Bacterial small subunit ribosomal RNA
Source: RNAcentral